UUUCAGAAGUGCAAGAUGGGGGAAAUUUCUACAGGCAACAACUUUCUGAGUAUACUCUUAAACACAAUUGAUUCUCUAUAAAAGAAGAGGCAACAUAGCCACUUGUUCAGAGAUCGAAGAGGCACCGCUUUCUUAAUUUCAAAAGCCAAAUUUUCCUGAAUAAAGUUCGUUGGCAUUUUUCAGACGCAAUCUCAGCUUUUUUGGAUAUCGCGUACAACUUUGUCAAAGAUCUCUGACAAAGUUGAAAACGCAUAAAUCUUACUGUUCUAAUUACACCACAGUUGCUGACAAGAGUAAAGACACGUCACCAC
RNAcentral lists this long non-coding RNA (311 nucleotides) under Malus domestica (apple). RNAcentral's name for it is "long non-coding RNA (MDOM_LNC005190)". The record is from RNAcentral. Lineage: Eukaryota; Viridiplantae; Streptophyta; Magnoliopsida; Rosales; Rosaceae.